Molecule: ribosomal RNA, 1255 nt
Filed under: Blastococcus sp. CT_GayMR20
Lineage: Bacteria; Bacillati; Actinomycetota; Actinomycetes; Geodermatophilales; Geodermatophilaceae
Description: partial 23S ribosomal RNA
Rfam family: Bacterial large subunit ribosomal RNA
Source: RNAcentral
UGUGGCCAAGUUGUUAAGGGCGCACGGUGGAUGCCUUGGCACCAGGAGCCGAUGAAGGACGUAGGAGGCUGCGAUAAGCCUCGGGGAGCUGUCAACCGAGCGUUGAUCCGAGGAUUUCCGAAUGGGGGAACCCCGCACCAGUCAUGUGGUGUGACCCGCGCUUGAACACAUAGGGCGUGUGGAGGGAACGUGGGGAAGUGAAACAUCUCAGUACCCACAGGAAGAGAAAACAACCGUGAUUCCGUGAGUAGUGGCGAGCGAAAGCGGAUGAGGCUAAACCGAUUGCAUGUGAUAGCCGGCAGGCGUUGUGUGGUCGGGGUCGUGGGACCGUUCAGUCAGGGCUGCCGCCCUGGCAGAGAGUGAGAAAACAGCGUCGUUAGUGGAAGGCCUCUGGAAGGGGUCGCCGUAGAGGGUGAGAGCCCCGUACACGAAAACGCGUUGUCUCUCGAGCGUGUUCCCAAGUAGCACCGAGCCCGUGAAAUUCGGUGUGAAUCUGGCGGGACCACCCGCUAAGCCUGAAUACUCCCUGGUGACCGAUAGCGGACAAGUACCGUGAGGGAAAGGUGAAAAGUACCCCGGGAGGGGAGUGAAAUAGUACCUGAAACCGUGUGCCUACAAGCCGUGAGAGCCUUAUGCCCUUCGGGGUGGGGGUGAUUGCGUGCCUUUUGAAGAAUGAGCCUGCGAGUUAGUGGUACGUGGCGAGGUUAACCCGUGUGGGGUAGCCGUAGCGAAAGCGAGUCCGAACAGGGCGACCGUGAGUCGCGUGCCCUAGACCCGAAGCCGAGUGAUCUACCCAUGGCCAGGUUGAAGCGCGGGUAAGACCGCGUGGAGGACCGAACCCACUUAGGUUGAAAACUGAGGGGAUGAGCUGUGGGUAGGGGUGAAAGGCCAAUCAAACUCGGUGAUAGCUGGUUCUCCCCGAAAUGCAUUUAGGUGCAGCGUCACGUGUUUCUUGCCGGAGGUAGAGCACUGGAUGGCUGAGGGGCCCCACAAGGUUACUGACGUCAACCAAACUCCGAAUGCCGGUAAGUGAGAGCGUGGCAGUGAGACUGCGGGCGAUAAGGUUCGUAGUCGAGAGGGAAACAGCCCAGAUCAUCGGCUAAGGCCCCUAAGCGUGUGCUAAGUGGAAAAGGAUGUGGAGUCGCAGAGACAACCAGGAGGUUGGCUUAGAAGCAGCCACCCUUGAAAGAGUGCGUAAUAGCUCACUGGUCAAGUGAUUCCGCGCCGACAAUGUAGCGGGGCUCAAGCACACCGC